RNAcentral lists this ribosomal RNA (164 nucleotides) under Oryza latifolia. RNAcentral describes it as "5.8S ribosomal RNA". It matches the Rfam family "5.8S ribosomal RNA". Rfam says of the family: 5.8S ribosomal RNA (5.8S rRNA) is a component of the large subunit of the eukaryotic ribosome. Lineage: Eukaryota; Viridiplantae; Streptophyta; Magnoliopsida; Poales; Poaceae. The record is from RNAcentral.
CACACGACUCUCGGCAACGGAUAUCUCGGCUCUCGCAUCGAUGAAGAACGUAGCGAAAUGCGAUACCUGGUGUGAAUUGCAGAAUCCCGUGAACCAUCGAGUCUUUGAACGCAAGUUGCGCCCGAGGCCAUUCGGCCGAGGGCACGCCUGCCUGGGCAUCACGC